Molecule: ribosomal RNA, 253 nt
Filed under: uncultured bacterium
Lineage: Bacteria
Description: partial 16S ribosomal RNA
Rfam family: Bacterial small subunit ribosomal RNA
Source: RNAcentral
UACGUAGGGGGCAAGCGUUGUCCGGAUUUAUUGGGCGUAAAGAGCGUGUAGGCGGCCAGGGAGGUCCGUUGUGAAAACUCGAGGCUCAACCUCGAGACGCCGAUGGAAACCCCCUGGCUAGAGUCCGGAAGAGGAGAAUGGAAUUCCUGGUGUAGCGGUGAAAUGCGCAGAUAUCAGGAGGAACACCAGUGGCGAAGGCGACUACCUGGCCUGUUCUUGACGCUGAGGCGCGAAAGCUAGGGGAGCAAACGGG